AGCCAGUUAGCUCAGUUGGUUAGAGUGCGGUGGUGAUAAUGCCAAGGUUAUUUGUUUGAUUCCCAUACGGGCCA
Molecule: non-coding RNA, 74 nt
Organism: Podarcis lilfordi (Lilford's wall lizard)
Lineage: Eukaryota; Metazoa; Chordata; Lepidosauria; Squamata; Lacertidae
Source: the annotation of a GenBank genome assembly